CAGCUCACGGCAAUGCCGGAUCCUUAACCCACUGAGCAAGGCCAGGGGUCGAACCCGCAACCUCAUGGUUCCUAGUCGGAUUCGUUAACCACUGAGCCACGACGGGAACUCCUGAGCAUCUUUUUUUAGCUGUGUGUUGGACCUUUGCAUAUCUCCUCUAGAGAAAUGUCUCUAAGUUCGUUGUCCAUUUUAGAAUUGGAUUAGUUGUCCUCUAUUGUUGGCUUGUAAUAUUUGGGGUGCUAGAACCUCCUCAAAUACAUGAUUCGCAAAUAUUUUCUCCCCAUUCUUUCAGUUACCUUUUUACUCUCUGGAUACUAUCCUUUGAGGAAUUGCAGUUUUCCAUUUUACUGAAGUCCAGUUGAUCACUUUUUUUCUUUAGUUAUUUGUGGUGUCGGUGUCACAUCUGAGACUCGCAGCAAGUCAUGGGGUUACCGUCAAGGGUGAGGAAUUGUGUUCCACCUGCAGAUGGGGGAGCCCUGCAGAUUUGCAUGGCACAGAGCGUGGAAAAGGGUGACGCAAAGAGUAGAGAACAUGGAUCCAACUCCAUCACACCAUGAUUGGCUUAGAUUGACUUGGAUUCAUCCCGCAAGGGCUUUGCUACCCACACAGAAUCACAGUUCUGUCAGCAAGGAAGAGGGAAGGUCAGGUUUGGAGCAGGCAGGGAGCAGCUUCCCGCACAAGUCUAUGGGGGCAUCUCACCCAUAGAAAUCUAAGGUCAGAGUUGGCCAGAGCGGUGUGGAAUUGACCGAGGAUGAGGUCGGUGCUUCUCCCAGAGAGAUCGAGGGUGCUCAGGGAAGGGGAGACUCGGGAAGGUCAAGUCAUCCCCCAGGAGCCCUGACAGUUGCCGUGAUGGUCCACAGCUCUGUACUCUGCUUACCCUGGAUGUUUGAGGUUUAGCAGUAACGGAUCCCAAACCAUGAAAGAUGAGCGGCUGUGUGGAGAAAGGAGGAAAGGCAAAGAUAACCCAACUUCUGAUGAUAAACAGGAUGCUGGAGCAGGGAUCUCUUUAUUCUGUGGACAUGUAGCUGUUUCCAGUAAAACCUGUAAGAUGCAGAAUCUCCUUCCUGCUUCUAGUUCACAAGCAUGACUCCUUCUACUCCUCCAAGUUGGUAUGGUGCAGCACAGACUGUUUGGCUGCUUUCAGCUCAAGAAUACAAAUUGAAUAUUGACGUUCCUCCUUUUUUUUAUCCAAUUUUGCCUUGCAGGGGCCCAGGUAUGACUUCAUUUUAAAAAUGAAAUUAUGCAGGUCGUUCGCCCGUAGUGAUGAAACGAUUCUGGUUAUUAGCACGAAACUCAGCCACGGUCCACGCGAGGUAACCUUGGUUGUUUAAAUACUGUGCAUCAUGACCACAUAGAGCUCAGAAAAACUAUUUUUUCAGACUCUUCAGCCAUCACGGAAAGGACCUGUGAUUUCAUUCGUUAGUGUUAACGAGUGCCAUUCUUCGUUUCAGUGGGGUCAGCCUUGCCUGAAGAGUUCCUUAAGAGGGCCUGAGGUCCAGAACGGUGAGGUUUUGGAUGUGGAAGAGGGUCCAGAGCAAGCUAUGAAGUUGAGUGACGUUUGUAAUGACACAGGCUUGUGAGCAGCAAUGACCCGAAUUCGAAUCCCCCAUCUGUGACCCCGUCGGCAAAAUAAUUAAAAACUCCGAAUAUCAUUUUCCCAUGCCCCGCAUGGGUAAAUCCCCUCUCCCUCUUAGGGUGGCUGGGAGAUGUAGUGAUGUGAGAUCUUCAUGACGUCUGCACAGGGCCUGACCCAGAGCGAACCCUCAGUAACUUACUUACAGCUGCUGCCGUCACUGCUGCCGUCGUGGUCAUUGUUGUUGCGCUCGCUGUUCGUAUUAUAUUAGCCCCUGUAUCGCGGUGGCGCUCUGGCCAGGGGAAAUGCCCACCCCAGUCUGCAGGCUGUGAGCCCAGGCAGACCCGCCUAUUUUGGAGGCAGCAGGAACGGCACGUAGAACUGCUAUCUGUGGCUGCUGGUACCUAUCUGCCCUCGGCUGGGUCGCGCCAAAGAAAUGACUUUCCUUUUGUAUGUUAGCUCUGUGCCUGGCAGAUGGCAAAUAUCUGUGGUUGACCGUUGAAUCUCGCCAUCGUGAUACCAGUAUUUUGGGGAGUCUGUAAAUAGUGGGAGUUGGCGUCCUCAGGCUGACCCUUGAGCCAGCAGUUUCUGUAGUCGACUCCCUUCACCUGCUGCUGGUUGGGGAGAUCCUUCUUUGAACGAUAGGGACGGCGAAGGUGGCGGUGGUAUUGAUAAUGGUAACGAUGGUGAUAUAGCCCGAAUCUACUGCGUGCUCGCAAGACGCUGGAUGGUGUGCUAAGUGCUUUACCGCCAUUCUGUCAUUUACCGUUCCCUGGUACGCUCUCGCGACAUACAAGGAUACUGAGGCGCAAACACCUGAGAUAACCUAGCUCUGAUCUCAAGCAGAGGUCUUAAGUCCAGCAGCGUGACCCCCAAAAGCUGGCUCUUCAUGGCUCCGCCCUUCUGUCUGCCCAGGUGUUUUGUGGUGGAGUCGGAGGGGAAAGGAAGCCUUUGGAUUUUGAGGGUCCCCCCUGGACAAUGAGUUUUCUUCAAAAUGGUCUUGAUGGCGUGAUUGCUUAGAAGAUCUUCUCCUUCAAACUGGGGACUUAGGGCCACUGCUGGGGCUUUCUGAUUCUAAAAAAGAAUCGAAAAUUUAAUUUCUCACACCGAUUUCUAGGAAAAUACUGUCUGGGCACCAAGCCUCACUACUAAUUUGACAUUAAUUGCCAAACGUGGUGCUUGAAUUUUCAUUCUUUUAUUCAUUGAGUACACACCCUGCAUUGGACUAGGCUCUGGAAAUUUAAUCUAGUGGAUUGGUCCCUUAUGUUUCUCAACCUCCAUUUUCUCAUCAGUAAUACAAGGACUGUAAUGACAUCUACCUAAUAUACUUAAGGGUGGAGUGAAACAGGGUAGGCAAGUGUCUAGCAGAGUGGCCGGUCUGUAGUCAGCGCCCAAUAAAUGCUGACGAGUCUUAGCAUCAACAGCAGCAUCAAAUGGAUGCAAGAAUGUGACGUUCAAGUUAAGUGAGAAAAGUGAAAAGUUGACUGAUGAAAAAGAAAAGCAGAUGGUAUAUAAGACAAGACAAAGAAGCUUUGUGAAUGCUUAAACAAGGCUCCAAGACCCCCCAGGACACCAUCUGUCUGUGUUUGCUCAAAGAGGGUACAGUGGAUAUUUUCAGCUGAUGAUGAGAGUGGCUCUUAAUACCUGUCUAACGAUCAAGUGAGAAACACUCCUUGCCUUUCCUCCAGGACCUUCUUCUUGAAUUGCGAUUGGCUAACUGCGGUAACAUACAGUUCCCAGGAGUGGGCUUGAUCUCUUGUUCAUGUAACAGUUACUGCAGACAUUCAGCAGCUGGCCUUCCACGCCUUGACUGGGGACCCAGGCUGACAUUUCAGGCACGGCCAUCCCCUAGAGCCUCCAAAUCCUCUGCUGGAUCCUCAAAAAUCCAGAUGUCAAGCAAAGGAAGAAGAGGAACAAGGUUCCCUUGGCGGGGGGGGGGGAGAGUUGAUGGGCCCAGCCUAGAAGGCGUGAGAUCACUUCCGCCUACUUUCUAUUGGUCAGAACCAAGUUAUGUGGUCAUACCCAACUGCAGAGGACCCUGGGAAAUGUAGUCCCGGAUGCUUUCAGGAAGCACGAGAAAUGUUUUCUCUGACAGAUUGCCUUCUCUGCCUUGCUCUCUGCUGUUGAUUGCUUACUCGAUUGCUUUUAAAUUGCACAGCCUUAUAUACACGACACCAGUUUUGUUUUGCCUUUUGGAAAGAACCAAUUAUUGUCCAUAGUCAUCAAAAAUAUAUCUGUUCAUUGGUAUCAUUGCAGUGUAUUAGCAAGAGCCCUGCCUGGGCCAGGAGCCAGACCUGUGCUUCAGUUCCCUGCACAGCCAUCAGCCAUUCCUUGCUGGGCGAGCUUGGGCUGCUCAGUAAAGAUCUGUCUUAAAUAGAAUUUGGGAAAGGGUACCUGCCCUGCCUACAGUGUUGGGCAAGGACGAUGUGCUCUAAUCUGCAAAAGUACCUUGUAACCAAGGGUACCUGCUAAAGGGAAGAGACGGUCUCAGGAUAGCUGCCUCCCCUACCUGAACAGGAAGCCACCAUUAGAAGGGUAUAUUGUGUAACCAUGCAUUACUCGAGGUGUGCGUUUCAGGUUUUGAGUGUCAGUGUGGUAAAUGAAUAAAUGAAAGUCAGACAAACUUAAGUUCAUUUCCUCCAACCCUUAAAGCAGCUGCAUCCCGGGCACCCUCGCUGGAGAGAUGUUCUUCCAGCAGAGGGUUCUGAGCAGCCCCCCUCUGCCACGGCUGAGUCUGCUGCUCUUCCCAUCUGGAACCACCUGGGUCAGGUCAACAUUCCGCAGCUUCUCUUUGCUUACCUGAAAAAUGGGAACAUCUGUCCAGCUUCAUGAGACUGGGAUGAGGAACAAAUGAUGUCACAGAAAAGUCCCAGCUCCCUUCUUCACCCCCCCGCCCCCGGCAGCCAAAGUCACUGAAGCUUAAUUCAUCAGGCCGAAACUUCUCUUGUUUCUGUGGAAACUGAGGUUCGUAAAGAUGGUGACUCGCCUAGGUUCUGUAAGGAGAGUUGGCUGGAGUCUGCCCUGAAACCCACACACUGCGAUACCAAGGCUGGUGCUCCCUUAAACCCAGCGGGACCCUCUUGCGGAAGUUGAGGCACUCAACUCAAGGACAUCAUUGCUGUUUUUUUUUUUUUUUUUUUUUUUCCAGUGCUGCACCUGCAGCGCAUGGACGUUCCCAGGCUACAUCACAACCACAGCAACGCCAGAUCCAAGCUGCGUCUGUGAUCUACACCACAGCUCAUGGCAACACCAGAUCCUUAAUCCACUGAGCGGGGCCAGGGAUCGAACCUGCAUCCUCAUGGAUACUAGUCAGUUUCAUUACUGCUGAGCCCCAGUGGGAACUCCAUCAUUGCUGUUUUUAAUCCAAACUCACUGUUCCUCCAUAUGCUUGUGGAAACUGGGUCAAAAAGAGUGAGGGUCAGGUUCAGAUUGACAGUGCUUUUCAAAGGGGAAAAGAAAAAUCUUGCCUUUCCCUGGCUAGAGGUCAGAGGUCAAAAAAGCUAAUAAUGGAAUGCGGG
This 5091-nucleotide long non-coding RNA is filed under the name Sus scrofa (pig). Its description in RNAcentral is "lncRNA (ENSSSCG00035031675.1)". The record is from RNAcentral. Lineage: Eukaryota; Metazoa; Chordata; Mammalia; Artiodactyla; Suidae.